AGGUCGUUUACAUACGAAGGAAAAUAAAACAGGACAGGCUUCACCAUGUGCUGAUUCCCCAGUACAGCCAUGAUCCCAGUGAAUAUGACCAACACAGUGAGGAAGACUGGGGGCAUGAAGAUCGAGACGAAGACGAGGAAGAGAUGGAGCCUCUCUAUAUGGAGGGAAAGCUGUCCUUCAACCAGGCACGUGCACAGAUUGGGCUCUAGGGGUGCUGGAGGACCUGGCCUGAGG
Long non-coding RNA from Salvelinus fontinalis (brook trout), 234 nucleotides. RefSeq lists it as uncharacterized. Lineage: Eukaryota; Metazoa; Chordata; Actinopteri; Salmoniformes; Salmonidae. The record is from RefSeq and is a predicted model, not a curated record. The transcript is spliced from 3 exons.